Molecule: ribosomal RNA, 854 nt
Filed under: human gut metagenome
Description: bacterial SSU rRNA
Rfam family: Bacterial small subunit ribosomal RNA
Source: RNAcentral
AGAGAGGAGCUUGCUCUUCUUGGAUGAGUUGCGAACGGGUGAGUAACGCGUAGGUAACCUGCCUUGUAGCGGGGGAUAACUAUUGGAAACGAUAGCUAAUACCGCAUAACAAUGGAUGACACAUGUCAUUUAUUUGAAAGGGGCAAUUGCUCCACUACAAGAUGGACCUGCGUUGUAUUAGCUAGUAGGUGAGGUAAUGGCUCACCUAGGCGACGAUACAUAGCCGACCUGAGAGGGUGAUCGGCCACACUGGGACUGAGACACGGCCCAGACUCCUACGGGAGGCAGCAGUAGGGAAUCUUCGGCAAUGGGGGCAACCCUGACCGAGCAACGCCGCGUGAGUGAAGAAGGUUUUCGGAUCGUAAAGCUCUGUUGUAAGUCAAGAACGGGUGUGAGAGUGGAAAGUUCACACUGUGACGGUAGCUUACCAGAAAGGGACGGCUAACUACGUGCCAGCAGCCGCGGUAAUACGUAGGUCCCGAGCGUUGUCCGGAUUUAUUGGGCGUAAAGCGAGCGCAGGCGGUUUGAUAAGUCUGAAGUUAAAGGCUGUGGCUCAACCAUAGUUCGCUUUGGAAACUGUCAAACUUGAGUGCAGAAGGGGAGAGUGGAAUUCCAUGUGUAGCGGUGAAAUGCGUAGAUAUAUGGAGGAACACCGGUGGCGAAAGCGGCUCUCUGGUCUGUAACUGACGCUGAGGCUCGAAAGCGUGGGGAGCGAACAGGAUUAGAUACCCUGGUAGUCCACGCCGUAAACGAUGAGUGCUAGGUGUUGGAUCCUUUCCGGGAUUCAGUGCCGAAGCUAACGCAUUAAGCACUCCGCCUGGGGAGUACGACCGCAAGGUUGAAACUCAAAGGAA